Molecule: ribosomal RNA, 251 nt
Filed under: uncultured prokaryote
Description: partial 16S rRNA
Rfam family: Bacterial small subunit ribosomal RNA
Source: RNAcentral
ACGUAGGGGGCGAGCGUUGUCCGAAUUUAUUGGGCGUAAAGCGCAUGUAGGCGGCUCUUUAAGUCAGAUGUGAAAUGUAGGGGCUCAACCCCUGAACUGCAUUUGAAACUAUUGUUCUUGAGUGAUGGAGAGGCAGGCGGAAUUCCGUGUGUAGCGGUGAAAUGCGUAGAUAUACGGAGGAACACCAGUGGCGAAGGCGGCCUGCUGGACAUUAACUGACGCUGAGGCGCGAAAGCGUGGGGAGCAAACAG